This 487-nucleotide ribosomal RNA is filed under the name uncultured bacterium. RNAcentral's name for it is "partial 16S ribosomal RNA". It matches the Rfam family "Bacterial small subunit ribosomal RNA", at positions 28 to 523 of the family's 1533-position model. The record is from RNAcentral.
GACGAACGCUGGCGGCGUGCUUAACACAUGCAAGUCGAACGCUGAAACCCCUUCGGGGGUGGAUGAGUGGCGAACGGGUGAGUAACACGUGGGUAAUCUGCCUUAUACUCUGGGAUAAGCCUGGGAAACGGGGUCUAAUACCGGAUGUGACCUGUUCUAGCAUGGGGGUGGGUGGGAAGUUCUGGAGGUAUGGGAUGAUCCCGCGGCCUAUCAGCUUGUUGGUGGGGUGAUGGCCUACCAAGGCGACGACGGGUAGCCGGCCUGUGAGGGUGACCGGCCACACUGGGACUGAGACACGGCCCAGACUCCUACGGGAGGCAGCAGUGGGGAAUCUUGCGCAAUGGGCGAAAGCCUGACGCAGCAACGCCGCGUGGGGGAUGACGGCCUUCGGGUUGUAAACCUCUUUCGACAUCGACGAAGGCCCCUUUGGGGUGGACGGUAGGUGUAGAAGAAGCACCGGCUAACUACGUGCCAGCCGCCGCCGUAA